GCGGGGAUCGCCCAGCCUGGUCAACGGCGCUAGGUUGAGGGCCUAGUUCUUUAGAGAUUCGUGGGUUCAAAUCCCACUCCCCGCA
RNAcentral lists this transfer RNA (85 nucleotides) under Candidatus Heimdallarchaeota archaeon. RNAcentral's name for it is "tRNA-Leu". It matches the Rfam family "tRNA". Rfam says of the family: Transfer RNA (tRNA) molecules are approximately 80 nucleotides in length. Their secondary structure includes four short double-helical elements and three loops (D, anti-codon, and T loops). The record is from RNAcentral. Lineage: Archaea; Promethearchaeati; Candidatus Heimdallarchaeota.